UUUGGAUGUGGAUAAUUGCGUUUACGAAUAUGGAAGGUAUCAGACCCGGUGGUGUCACUGUCAGUGUUUCAAAAGUGAAAUAUGUAAAUAUUGUGUGCCGCUUACAUUUCAACGUUCUCGCGUAGAUUUGAGUAUAACUUUGAAAAACAAAGAAACGAUCUUAGUGAAACGAGUUAUUUUUUGUGUUGCGAAGUGAUUUCAUUGCAUAAAAAGUUGAGACAUUUUUCAAGUUUUACUUUGCGUCCGUUGACGUGACGGCCUAGCUUCGUCAGACACACCCUUGGCCGUGAAGAGAGCCUGGGGCCCAGAUUAGCAAGAAGGUGCGGCCCCAGAUGAAUGACCAGGUGGGCUUUUGAUCUGACUAGAGGACUGCAAAAUUGCGUGUGCGUGCACACCUUAACAUAGAAAAUAGGGAAGGAAUAGGAGUCAUAGGAAGCCCACGCAACUGGAAAAAGCCAGAGACAAUUUUGAAACCAAGGGGGCAGCAUCUCCUCUCCAAAAGCUCCUUCCCCUCUUCUGCCUGCCUCUAUCCAGGCGCCAUUGUUGUGUACCGCAUGGUCGCACUAAGUAUACUUUACAGUGUUCCCUACCUUAUCUAGACCUCCAUCCAACCUGCUUCCGAUGCCAAGCCAUCCCAAUGACCAGAGACCUUUUGCUGUGGAAUUCUCUCGCCUUGAUUGCGGCUGCCUUCCCCAUGUCCUGGUACCUUGAUUAUUACCCAGGAUCUGCUACGUCUUAGUAUUCAGUUUUUAUCUUUUGAUGGUGUUAAUGCAAAUACAUGUAAUUUUAAAGUUAUCCGAACUUGUUUAUCUACAAUUACUUAAAGUAAAAGCCUUCAGCUCAUGUAACAAAUCCCCUUUUUUCCUUUUUUUCACGGUUUCUUGCUCUUAUAGCAGUCAGAUCCCAGAAUUUCAAAUGGGAAAUAAGCAAUUGUUUUGUCUAAACCCAGAAAUUAGC
This is a long non-coding RNA of Macrobrachium nipponense, 957 nucleotides long. RefSeq lists it as uncharacterized. The transcript has 4 exons. The record is from RefSeq and is a predicted model, not a curated record. Lineage: Eukaryota; Metazoa; Arthropoda; Malacostraca; Decapoda; Palaemonidae.